Molecule: long non-coding RNA, 656 nt
Filed under: Sus scrofa (pig)
Lineage: Eukaryota; Metazoa; Chordata; Mammalia; Artiodactyla; Suidae
Description: lncRNA (ENSSSCG00070017838.1)
Source: RNAcentral
AUGUCAGCAGUCCUCCCUGUUGUGAUAGAUUGCAUAGGAUGCUGCUUCCGGAUCCAAAGGAACAAUCGACAGACGUCACAAAGAUCCACCUCUGGCUGCAUCAGAAAAUUAUGCUCCUGGCGCCACCAGCGAGUGCACCCCGCUAAUGGGUCGGGGACAGAAGAAACCCCGGGCUCCCAUGAAAGGCUGCCCAGCACCGCAGGAGGAAUAGAGGCUCCAAGUGGCUGCACAAUGCCGGCCGAUGACGCAACUAAUAAUAAUGGCAUGGCUUUGGAGCGCCCCACUCCAGUGACAAACAAUCGGGGUGAAGAAGAAGAAGAUUGCAUAGGAUGCUGCUUCCGGAUCCAAAGGAACAAUCGACAGACGUCACAAAGAUCCACCUCUGGCUGCAUCAGAAAAUUAUGCUCCUGGCGCCACCAGCGAGUGCACCCCGCUAAUGGGUCGGGGACAGGUACGUGGAGAUUUUCUCCUUCGGUGCAUGCAAGAAUAAUUUUUCUUUAGGGUCCCCUGUAUACGAAUGAACUCGGAAGUAUUUUGUGGUAUCCUUUGUGCGUGCGUGCGUGCGUGCGUGCGUGCGUGUGUGUCCAAGUUGAAACAUACUUAGUCAGGUGGUAGUGUUUAUAUACCUGUGGAAAUAAAACGACUUUGAAAUCUCA